Molecule: long non-coding RNA, 7001 nt
Filed under: Homo sapiens (human)
Lineage: Eukaryota; Metazoa; Chordata; Mammalia; Primates; Hominidae
Description: HSALNT0069200
Source: RNAcentral
AAGAAAUUAAAUCAUUUUUGGGAAGCCCUCAAGGUACCAUAAGCUCUGGGCAGUGUGCCUAAGACUUCUAAUGGAGAAUUUAGCCCUGUGCAGAUGAUAUUGCAGAGGAGGAAUGCUUAGUUAAUUUAGUUCCAGGAUACCUGUGCAGGACAUGACAUGCAGGUUUGUCAUGUAGGUAAACAUGUGCCAUGGUGGUUUGCUGCACCUGUCGACCCAUCACCUAGGAAAAAAUUGGACACGGAGAUAAGGACAGAGGAAAGAUGAUGUGAAGACAGGGGCAGAAGUCAGCCAUCUACAAGUCAAAGGGAGACAUGUGGAACAGAUUCACCCUCACAGCCCUCAGAUGGAAGCAACACCACUAACACUUUGCUCUUGGACUUCUAGCUUCCAGAACUGAGAGACAAUAUCUUUCUGUUGCUUAAGUCAUUCUGUCUGUGAUACUGUGUUUAUGGCAGCCCUGGCAAACUAAUACAGUCCCACAAAGAUUUGGUUGUUGCUUUGCAAGAGAAUGUAUAAUUCCUGGUUAUUUCUACAAAUAAGGGCAUUGACUUUAUAAAGCUACAAGUAUACCCCAGUAUUCUGUUUCUGGUUUUUGUUUACUUUCAUAUAUGCUAUCUUUUCAUUCCCAGGUGAAAUCAUAGUGCAUUUUAAAUGAUAUUUUAAAGAGCAAUUAUACUCGUCAUAUGUACUUCAAAUAAUACUGAUUCCUCAAUUGAAGUAAUGGUAACAUGAGUGUAUUAGUUAAUUUUUUCUGAAUAACUAGUUACCUCCAAAGUUCAUGCCUUCAAGCAACACAUAUUCAUUAUUUCACAGCUUCUUUGGGUCAGGAGUCUUGGCAUAGCUUAGCUGAGUCCUCUGGCUCCUGGCGUCCCAGGCUGUAAUCAAGGUGGUGGCCAGGACUGUAGUCAUGUCAGGGCUCGCCAGGGAAGGAUCUGCCUCCAAGCUAACCAGUGUGGCUUUUGGCAGAAUAUAUUUCUAUGCAGGUUGUUGGACUGAGUUUCUUGCUGGCUGUUCCAGAGGUUCCCUUAGCAUCUUGUCGUGUGGCCUCUUCAUAGGUCAAUUCAUAUUGGCUUCAUCAAAGUGAGCAGGUAAGAUAGCAAAAGAGAAUGCCCAAGAUAGAAGCCAUAGUCUUUUUGUAAUCUAAUCUUAGAAGUGACAGCCUGUUAUAUUUGCUAUAUUCUCUUUGUUAGAAACAAGUUUCUAGGGCUGGGCAUGGUGGCUCACAUCUGUAAUCCCAGCAUUUUGGGAGGCCGAGACAGGCAGAUCACCUGAGGUCAGGAGUUCGAGACCAGCCUGGCCAACAUGGCGAAAUCCUGUCUCUACUAAAAAUACAAAGCCGAGUGUGGUGGCGCAGGCCUGUAAUCCCAGCUACUUGGGAGGCUAAGGCAGGAGAAGCACUUGAACCUGGGUGGUGGAGGUUGCAGUGAGCCAAGAUUGUGCCACUGCACUCCAGCCUGGGUGACAGAGUGAGACUCCAUCUCAAAAAACAAACAAACAAAAAACCAAAUUACUAGGUUUGUCUCAUUCUCAAGGGAAGAGUUUACUCAAGAGAAUAAAUACCAGGAGGUUGGGAUCACUGGAGGCCAGUUUAGAGUCUGCCUACCAAUAGGAGCAAGGCCAUCAAUGUCAGUCAGUGACAUCAACAUCAUGUAGACUGCUUGGCCAACAGUAAUGCUAAAAUGCCAUCAAUCUUGAGAUCAUCUUCAUCUCAUAAAUAUUAACAUGUAAAAAAAGUCAUUUUAAAGUAAAGAAAAUAUGUUAUUUUUUAACAUUUGAAACAGCCCCUGAAGUCAUGUUUUAGAACAUUUUCUCAUCAUUUUUUGUGUGACUUUUAUAAUAUCUUUUAUAUUAUAUGUUAUAAUAGGGAAUAAAGAAAGUAAAAUAACUCCAAAUCAAAUUUUGAGCACUUACCAAUUAUUAAAUCAUUUAAACAGUCAGGAAAUGGAUACUACUGUGUUCUAGAAAUGGGUACCAACUCUCAAAAUGUUUCACAUACUCAUGGAAAUAACAUGGCUUUAAUGGAAGGGCUUAGGGAGUUCUGCUUCAAGCUGGCUGAUCAGAAAAAGGAGAAGCCUCAGAAAGGAAGUGGGAUCUGUACAUGCACCCAGGAAGCACAGCUUUAGUGUCAAUGGAGAAGUUUCGAAUAGCAAAAUUCUCCACUGAACUUGCUGAAAGCACGAGAGGAGAAAGAAGCAUUUGCAGGCCCAGAUGAUACCUAAGAGAGGACUGUGCAUUGCUUUUCAACCUCCACAUGUCAGUACUCAAGGGAUAAGCUGAAUUUUAAAAAUUUACUUUUGUAUUUGUUUCAUUGUAUAUUACUACCUGUUCACUAUAGCUAAUUGGGAAACUUACAAAAAUUAGAAAUAAUAAGAUUCCUCUUUCCCCAAAGUCACCACUAUCCUGAAUUUUAAAACUAGAGCUUACUUUUGCAAUCUUGACACUUUAUUUCACUACCGUCAUAUAGUAUCCUUCUGUGUCUCAGUCCUUUUUCUUUUUUUGACAUUGUUAUGAAGUUCAUCCAUGUUGUUGCAUGGGCUAAGGCUCAUUUUUAUUGCUGAAUAAUGUCAUAUUGUAUGAAUGUACUAAAUAUUCUUAGUCAUCCUUCUGUUGAGGGUAUUUGUGCUGUUUCCAGUUAGGACUUUCACAAAUCAUGGUUUCAUGAACAUUCUUUGUGAUGGCUAAUAUCAGGUGUCAACUUGAUUAGAUUGAGGGAUGCCUAGAUGGCUGGUCAUUGUUUCUGGGUGUGUCUGUGAGGGUGUUGCCAGAGGAGAUUGAUAUUUGAGUCAGUGGACUGGGAGAGGAAGAUCUCAUGCUCCUCAAUGUGAGUGGGAACCAUCCAAUCCAUGGCCAGCAGUCCUCUCUCAGACAAAAACAAAGCAGGUGGAAGAAGGUGGGAUAAGUUGGCUUGCUGAGUCUUCUGGCUUUCAUCUUUCUCCUGUGCUGGAUCGUUUUUGUCCUUGGACAUCAGACUCCAUGUUCUUCCGCCGUUGGACUCUUGGACUUACAGCAGUAGUUUUGCUGGGGGCUUUUGGGCCUUUGGCCACAGACUGAAAACUGCACUGUCAGCUUCUUUGGUUUUGAGGCUUUUGGACUCAGACUGAGGCACUAUUGGCUUCUUUCUUCCCCAGUUUGCAGAAGUCAUAUUGUGGACUUUGCCUUGUGAUCGUGUGAGCCAAUUCUUCCUAAUAAACUCUCUUUCAUAUAUACAUAUAUCCUAUUAGUUCUGUUCCUCCAGAGAACCCUGACUAAUAUACUCAUAGAUAUGCUUUUUGGUACACGAUUUCAAGCAUAUAUUUGGUGUAAACCUAAGAGUGAGAUUGUCACAUCACAGGACUUUCAAAUGCUCAACUUGAAUGGUUAAUGUUGAACUGCUUUCCAAAGAAGUGAGGCCAACUCAUACCCUACCAGUCAUGUUUCUCUGUUUUUUUUUCAAAGAUUUUGGUAGUAUCAGUCUUUGCAAUAUUAGCCAUUUUGUUGAGUAGGUAGUAGUGUGUCAUUUUGGUUUUCACUGGAUUUUGUGAUGACAAAUGAAGUUGAACACUUUUACUUAGCUAUACUUUCAGUUUAGUUUACUUGUAAUUAGUUACAGUGUUUAAUGGCUGUUUGGGUCUCUUCUUUCAUGAAGUGCCUAUUCUUGUCUUUUGCCUAUUGUUUCCUAUUGGCUUGUUUGCAUUUUUGUUAGUGAUUUCUAAAAAGUCUCUAUAUAUUUGGGAUAAGUGGCUGUGACUCAGUUUUAUAACGUAUAAAAUAGAAAUAAUAAUGCUCCCCACAUAUGACAUUGUUAUGAGGAGUGUAUUAGUUAAUACACAGAAAAGCUUCAAGCCAAAUGUGGCACAGAGUAAGUGCUCAGUAUUAUUGUGCUUAGCCGAAAGAACACUGCUAAGAACUGUGGACACAGAAAUCCAAAGAGGCCUUCUAACUUCCAUUCAACACAUUUUGCCUUGCACAACAACUUCUCAGAAGUUCUGAAACUCACUAUACUUGCCCCUAAUUGUGCCCCAGUACUAGCUUUAGUGAGAAGUACUGUGAUAAUUUUGUUACAAUCCCAACACUAUUUUUUAAAAUUGUAUUUUUCCUUGUAGAAGAAGGCAGUUUUCAAGCUGCAAAUUGAUAGGGAAGCACUUAUUCUCACAGGCACUGCAUGGUACAAUUGGCAUUUAGCAUGUUCAUUGCAAAAGUUUUAAAAGAAUAGCACUGCAGCAGGAGAAAGAGGAAGACAACGACAAUAACAACAACAACAAAGCAAAGUAAAAACUACUCCCUGAAUGCAGAAAUAAAAUGUAUUAAAAAUUAAAGGGUGCACAAUGGGAGCAAUUAAGUGUUUUAGGCCAAGUGCCCAUUCUUGCCUCAUCCAAAUUCCCUUGGUUCACUGGCCACAUUUAAGAAAAAAGGGACAAUUUUUAUCUUCUGCCCUAGUGAAAAUUGUUUUGCUCCCAGUAGCCAGACAAUAAAAAUUUCCUAUAAACAAAUAAACACACUUUAAUCACCGUGGUUAUUCUCCUUCUAUCAGUGGAAUUUUCACAGAUAAAGUUUGUUGAGGAGGAUAGAAAAACCACAAUUUAGGCCUUUGAAACCAAAAAUGACAGAAAAAUCUUUCAUUUAUUAUUCCUCGUGGACAAUAGCUCUUAAUAUCUUCCUUCUAGGUUUCUUAAUUAAAUUCAGCUUCUUAUAUUUUUCUCUUGAUUCACCCACUUUCAUUCCCAGAUUAACCUAGAUCUUCAUAACUAUAAUUUCUCAACUGUAAAAUUUCAUUUACCUCAUUUAAAUUUCUGUAGAUUUCUCUCCCCAAGUGGAAAGUUUGAUUAUUCACUCUUUCACCUUUCUCCCCAGGCAAUAAAACUAUGCUGCUUAGACUAGUGCUAACUGAUUUAUAAACAGUCAAAUAAAUUGCAUUAUUCUGUAUAAUUCAUAUAUGUGUGAAUAUAGAGUGACUUUAGAAAGUGACAGUGAUAGUCCUAGCCUGUGAAGAAUGGCCACCAUCUUCAAAGAUCCUUCUGAAGCGUUAUCUUUUCCACACAAUCUCUGAUUUCUUCUUGGGGAAAGGACUAGUUUUCUCUUUCAAAUCCCCCAGCAUGUCUCCAAGGGCAUUAUAGUUGAUUAGUUCAUUUUUUCCUGAUCAUCUGCUCCCUGCAUCUCCAUAGAGGAUGAGACAUACCUGCCUCUUGCUAUAUGACUUUCAGUGGCCCCCUGUGCUUUUCUGUCACUGGUGCCAGGCUUGGCCAAGUGACAUUCUUCAGUCAACGGAAGGGGAGCAGAUUAGUUCCUUCUGAGAGGAAGUUUUCAAAGGCAUUAUAAGUUUUUACCAGCUUCAUUGCUCUUUUCCUGUGCCAAGUUCCUUCGGCUUGGUCCCAAGAAUGAGAAGGCACAUGGAACCAUGGGACCUGAGCUGUGGCCUCCUACAUGUGACAUGAGCAAGAAAGAAAUAUCUGAGGUUUGGGGGUCAUUGGUUACUUCAGCACUUAGCACUUUAUUGAAAUUGUUUGUUUGUUUGUCUUAUUCAAGGUGCAUUCAGGAAAUGCAUCUUCUUCGUUGGAUGUCUGCAUAGUCUGGAGCUUGGCAGUUGGUGGGAGCUAAUAAAUGUUUGUGGAAUAAGUGAAUGAUUCAAUGAAGAUCUCCAAUGAGAAGCAUCUAUUAUCUGCCAUGGCAAUUGUGCUGACUGGAGAAUGUUUCUUACCCUGAGCAGAAAUUGAAUCCUCCUGUACUUCCACUAUGGGUUUUAGUUAUAUCCCUUAGGCUCCUAUAAAACCGUCUAAUUCCUCAUCCAUAUGACAGCCCUCUAAUGCCUGAAAGCAGUGCUACUAUUCAUCUUAGGAUUUUAUCUUUGCAGAAUAGGUAUUCCCAGUCCUUAUCCAUUUUGGUAUCUCCCAUGGUUUUAAUGUCCUUGGUUUCCUGGGGGUCCUCUUUGCAGGUGCUCUUGAUGCAUGUCUCUCUUAGCACAUGGGAUCUGCAAUUAGCAUCAUUAUCCAUGUGUGGUCAGAGUAGCACAGGGUGAGGAAAGAGUGUCUCCUCCCUCUGUCUAGACAAAUUAUACUGAGUCUAACACAGCCUCCAGUUGCCUUCACUGGUCUUGGCAGCCCCAUCAUGCUGCUGACCCAUGUGGAGUCAACCAAAUCCCUUAAGUCUUUUCCAGGAGCCUUUAUUGUCAAGCUCUGCCUCAACUUGUGCAGGUGGUUUGGGGAAUCCAAAUGUAGAUCUUUAUACUUUUCCCUGUUUGCCUACUCCCCUCAUUUCAUCUAGUUACUGAUUUCUGUCUACAGUAUUUUGGGAAAUGAAGGCUUUGGUUUCUGGGAAAGGAAAUGCAGCAGGUAGUCCACACAAAGGAGAAACAACUGUGUCUUGUUAAUCCUGGUAUGGCUAGAGAGCUCCAUUUUCAGGUUCUGCAAUGUAUACUUCACUAUGUGAGGUAGCUCAUUUCUAGUACUGUACUGUCUUUGCUUGGUUUCUCAGGGGGAAUAGAAGAGUAGCAUCAAUAGCACACACCAACAAGAAGCUCUAUGUGUGACAUAUAGACUGACUGUAAGGUGUUCCCCAUAACCCCUGCUUCCCGGUAAUCAUGCUCUUUGAUUAUCCCCUUGGCUUGAGUAUAGACAUGUCCUGUAACUUGCUUCUAUCCAAUGGAAUAUGGCAAAGCCAAUGGGAUAUAUGUGAUUGCAUGUACAUAAUUAUAUUUGGUGUGAUUGUAACAUUGCUUCCUUGCUGGCUGUGAGGAGCAAGGUUCUAGGCUGUGAUCUGUUCCCUGGGAAGAGGCCACAUAGUCAGAAACUGAGGGCAACUUCUAGCUGACAGCUAGCAAGAAGCUAAGGCCCUCAACCUGACAGCUUGCCAGAAACAGGAUGCUAUCAACAACCAAAUGGGCCUGGAAAAUGAUGCUUUCCCAGUCCACCCUUGAAGUGAGGUUGCAGCACUGGCUGAUGCCUUGAUUGCAGCUUCCAGAUGAGACUCUGAGGCAGAUGAUUCAACAAAGCCAGGCCCGACUCCUGAUCCAUGGAAACUGUGAUAUA